RNAcentral lists this long non-coding RNA (1455 nucleotides) under Canis lupus dingo (dingo). RNAcentral's name for it is "lncRNA (ENSCAFG00020013454.1)". Lineage: Eukaryota; Metazoa; Chordata; Mammalia; Carnivora; Canidae. The record is from RNAcentral.
AUGGCCCUUCCCUGUGCCCUCGCCAUAAGGCAACCAUUCAAACCCAGAGCGCAUUUCCCCCAAAUAGCGGAAAGCCCCAGCGCUGGGGGGCGUUGUGGGCCCCCGGGCACCAAGACGCGCCCCCCCUCCCCGCUCCUCGUCAAAACGGGGCCCACAGUGGCUCGCGCCCAAGCUUUCCCACUUGUUUUUUCGCACGUGUUGGCUGACAGCAGGCCGGCCCCGGGAGGGCAGGGCGGGCUGCGGGGGCACAGGGCGACCCGGGGGCUCCCGCCGUCCGGGGCGCCCGGGGCCGAGCGCGUUCCCGGGGCGGCGCGCGAAGCCCGGGCAGGGCGGGCGGAGGCGCGGCGCGGCGCGGCGCGGCGGCUCUUUCAACAGGCGAUCUGUGCCCCUUCCGUGGCUCAUUUCCAUGCAAAGAGCCUGACAUCAGAGCACCUUUUGUUGCUAAACGCUUUCUUCAGCGGCGAGGGGAGAGUCCCGUGGAGCUGGCUGGAAGAGCUCAUUUCCGACGCAGGGGUCCCGAGCUGCGGCCGCCCGGGGCCGAGGCCCGGCGCUCAGCCCCGCGGGGCCCGGGCAGCCUCGCCGCAGCCUCGCCGCAGCCUCGCCGCCCGGGGAGGGCCGCGGGCCUCCGGCAGCCGGUCCCGGCCCCGGCGGAGGCGCCUCUGCGCGGCCGAGCGGCGCCCGGGCCUCCCGCCUUCCCCGCCGUGCAGCGCGGUGGUGCGGACUUUGCCUCCUGCUCCCCCGCGGCCCGGGGAGCCGGGCGGGGAAAGUUGGCGGAGUUGCCCGGCGCGCGGCCCGCCGCCCCGGGAGCCGAGGUGCAGGCGCCGGCGCGGGGCCCCCGCGGGGGCGGCCGGGGCGGCGGGGCGUGCGGCGCGGGGGCGCGGGGGCGCGGGGGCGCGGCCGGCUGACGCGGGCGCGGGCGCGGGCGCGGGCGCGGCGGGCGGGGACCGGCGGCGGGGGCGGCGGCGCGCGGGCGCGGAGCGAGGGCGCUCGGGGGCCCGGGACGCACGGCCGGCGCGCGCGCGGGACGCGGCCAUGGAGGACGCGGGAGCGGCCGGCCCGGGGCGCGAGCCCGAGCCCGAGCCCGAGCCCGAGCCCGAGCCCGACCCAGACCCCGACCCCGAGCCCGAGCCCGAGCCCGAGGGGCGCGCCGGCAUGUCCGAGGCGUUCUCCCGGCUCUGGACCGACGUGAUGGGCAUCCUGGUGAGUUACCUGGAGCCGGCGGGCGCGGGCGGGCGGGGCGGGGCGGGGCGCACCCCCAGGUGCGGGACGGCCCCCUCCGCGCCCGGCGAGCCCUCUGCUCCGGGUCGGCGGCCUCCCCCCAGGUCCCCGGGCUUGACGCACUCGGUCCAGGAUUUCAAACCCGAGUUAAAAACUAACCAGCCCCAGAUCACAUCCUCGAGGGCUCUGCAACCGUCGGGGACGGCAGCGGCCAGUUCACUCCGGGACACCUGCUGA